AGUGAACGCUGGCGGUAGGCCUAACACAUGCAAGUCGAACGGCAGCACAGUAAGAGCUUGCUCUUACGGGUGGCGAGUGGCGGACGGGUGAGGAAUACAUCGGAAUCUACUUUUUCGUGGGGGAUACGUAGGGAAACUUACGCUAAUACCGCAUACGACCUACGGGUGAAAGCAGGGGAUCUUCGGACCUUGCGCGAUUGAAUGAGCCGAUGUCGGAUUAGCUAGUUGGGGGGGUAAAGGCCCACCAAGGCGACGAUCCGUAGCUGGUCUGAGAGGAUGAUCAGCCACACUGGAACUGAGACACGGUCCAGACUCCUACGGGAGGCAGCAGUGGGGAAUAUUGGACAAUGGGCGCAAGCCUGAUCCAGCCAUACCGCGUGGGUGAAGAAGGCCUUCGGGUUGUAAAGCCCUUUUGUUGGGAAAGAAAAGCAGCAGGUUAAUACCCCGCUGUUCUGACGGUACCCAAAGAAUAAGCACCGGCUAACUUCGUG
RNAcentral lists this ribosomal RNA (491 nucleotides) under uncultured bacterium. RNAcentral's name for it is "partial 16S ribosomal RNA". It matches the Rfam family "Bacterial small subunit ribosomal RNA", at positions 29 to 507 of the family's 1533-position model. The record is from RNAcentral.